RNAcentral lists this ribosomal RNA (468 nucleotides) under uncultured bacterium. Its description in RNAcentral is "partial 16S ribosomal RNA". It matches the Rfam family "Bacterial small subunit ribosomal RNA", at positions 28 to 507 of the family's 1533-position model. The record is from RNAcentral.
GACGAACGCUGGCGGCGUGCUUAACACAUGCAAGUCGAACGGAAAGGCCCUGCUUUUGUGGGGUGCUCGAGUGGCGAACGGGUGAGUAACACGUGAGUAACCUGCCCUUGACUUUGGGAUAACUUCAGGAAACUGGGGCUAAUACCGGAUAGGAGCUCCUGCUGCAUGGUGGGGGUUGGAAAGUUUCGGCGGUUGGGGAUGGACUCGCGGCUUAUCAGCUUGUUGGUGGGGUAGUGGCUUACCAAGGCUUUGACGGGUAGCCGGCCUGAGAGGGUGACCGGCCACAUUGCGACUGAGAUACGGCCCAGACUCCUACGGGAGGCAGCAGUGGGGAAUAUUGCACAAUGGGCGGAAGCCUGAUGCAGCAACGCCGCGUGCGGGAUGAAGGCCUUCGGGUUGUAAACCGCUUUCGCCUGUGACGAAGCGUGAGUGACGGUAAUGGGUAAAGAAGCACCGGCUAACUACGUG